RNAcentral lists this transfer RNA (72 nucleotides) under Acanthoscelides obtectus. It matches the Rfam family "tRNA". From Rfam's summary of the family: Transfer RNA (tRNA) molecules are approximately 80 nucleotides in length. The record is from Rfam by way of RNAcentral. Lineage: Eukaryota; Metazoa; Arthropoda; Insecta; Coleoptera; Chrysomelidae.
GCUUCUGUAGCUCAGUGACAGAGCACAGGUCUUGUAAACCAGCGGUCGCGAGUUCAAUCCUCACAGGAGGCA